RNAcentral lists this ribosomal RNA (253 nucleotides) under uncultured bacterium. RNAcentral's name for it is "partial 16S ribosomal RNA". It matches the Rfam family "Bacterial small subunit ribosomal RNA", at positions 524 to 776 of the family's 1533-position model. The record is from RNAcentral.
UACGUAGGGUGCAAGCGUUGUCCGGAAUUAUUGGGCGUAAAGAGCUCGUAGGCGGUCUGUCGCGUCUGCUGUGAAAACUCGGGGCUUAACCCCGGGCCUGCAGUGGGUACGGGCAGACUAGAGUGUGGUAGGGGAGAUCGGAAUUCCCGGUGUAGUGGUGAAAUGCGUAGAUAUCGGGAGGAACACCAGUGGCGAAGGCGACUUCCUGGCCUGUUCUUGACGCUGAGGCGCGAAAGCUAGGGGAGCGAACGGG